UACGUAGGGACCAAGCGUUGUUCGGAUUUACUGGGCGUAAAGGGCGCGUAGGCGGCGCGGUAAGUCACUUGUGAAAUCUCUGAGCUUAACUCAGAACGGCCAAGUGAUACUGCAGUGCUAGAGUGUGGAAGGGGCAAUCGGAAUUCUUGGUGUAGCGGUGAAAUGCGCAGAUAUCAGGAGGAACACCGGUGGCGAAGGCGGUUCUCUGGGCAUGAUCUGACGCUGAGGAGCGAAAGUGUGGGGAGCGAACAGG
This 253-nucleotide ribosomal RNA is filed under the name uncultured bacterium. RNAcentral's name for it is "partial 16S ribosomal RNA". It matches the Rfam family "Bacterial small subunit ribosomal RNA", at positions 524 to 776 of the family's 1533-position model. The record is from RNAcentral.